This 429-nucleotide ribosomal RNA is filed under the name Gemmatimonadota bacterium. RNAcentral's name for it is "Gemmatimonadetes bacterium partial 16S ribosomal RNA". It matches the Rfam family "Bacterial small subunit ribosomal RNA", at positions 355 to 776 of the family's 1533-position model. The record is from RNAcentral. Lineage: Bacteria; Pseudomonadati; Gemmatimonadota.
UAGGGAAUCUUCGGCAAUGGACGAAAGUCUGACCGAGCAACGCCGCGUGAGUGAAGAAGGUUUUCGGAUCGUAAAACUCUGUUGUUAGAGAAGAACAAGGACGUUAGUAACUGAACGUCCCCUGACGGUAUCUAACCAGAAAGCCACGGCUAACUACGUGCCAGCAGCCGCGGUAAUACGUAGGUGGCAAGCGUUGUCCGGAUUUAUUGGGCGUAAAGCGAGCGCAGGCGGUUUCUUAAGUCUAAUGUGAAAGCCCCCGGCUCAACCGGGGAGGGUCAUUGGAAACAGGGAGACUGGAGUGCAGAAGAGGAGAGUGGAAUUGCAUGUGUAGCGGUGAAAUGCGUAGAUAUAUGGAGGAACACCAGUGGCGAAGGCGGCUCUCUGGUCUGUAACUGACGCUGAGGCUCGAAAGCGUGGGGAGCAAACAGG